RNAcentral lists this ribosomal RNA (596 nucleotides) under Pochonia chlamydosporia var. spinulospora. RNAcentral describes it as "eukaryotic LSU rRNA". It matches the Rfam family "Eukaryotic large subunit ribosomal RNA", at positions 48 to 667 of the family's 3401-position model. Lineage: Eukaryota; Fungi; Ascomycota; Sordariomycetes; Hypocreales; Clavicipitaceae. The record is from RNAcentral.
UAGCGGAGGAAAAGAAACCAACAGGGAUUGCCCCAGUAACGGCGAGUGAAGCGGCAACAGCUCAAAUUUGAAAUCUGGCCCCUAGGGCCCGAGUUGUAAUUUGCAGAGGAUGCUUUUGGCGAGGUGCCUUCCGAGUUCCCUGGAACGGGACGCCAUAGAGGGUGAGAGCCCCGUCUGGUUGGAUGCCGAGCCUCUGUAAAGCUCCUUCGACGAGUCGAGUAGUUUGGGAAUGCUGCUCUAAAUGGGAGGUAUAUGUCUUCUAAAGCUAAAUACCGGCCAGAGACCGAUAGCGCACAAGUAGAGUGAUCGAAAGAUGAAAAGCACUUUGAAAAGAGGGUUAAAUAGUACGUGAAAUUGUUGAAAGGGAAGCACUUAUGACCAGACUUGGACCCGGUGAAUCAUCCAGCGUUCUCGCUGGUGCACUUUGCCGGGCUCAGGCCAGCAUCAGUUUGCCCCGGGGGAUAAAGGCUUUGGGAAUGUGGCUCCCUCGGGAGUGUUAUAGCCCAUUGCACAAUACCCUGGGGCGGACUGAGGUUCGCGCAUCUGCAAGGAUGCUGGCGUAAUGGUCAUCAGUGACCCGUCUUGAAACACGGACC